UGCUGAUGUGCAGUGUGGCCACGCUCCUGCGGACCAGUGGAAGUAAGAAUGGGAUGGGGAAGAUGGAGGAAGAGGAGCAAAUCGGACCAAGUCAGAAGGACAAUCUCCUGCCUGAGGGUUUCCGCAGUUACUGUGCAAGAAAGGACAGGACCUUUCUUCCAGAGCCCUACUCUUUGCCUUUCUAUUUGCAAGGCAAAUAAGAUAUCCUGUGAAGAGGACAAUGUGAAGCUUGCAUUUUUUAUGACCUGGCUGUAGAACUGGACACAUUAAAGACGGUGAUUGGGUGGAUGAACCAAUACAUGAAGCACAGAAAGUACUGAUCUAAGAGAAAAUGAUGACUUUGGUUGGCUGCCUGAUGAGUCCAGAUUACUUGUGAAGCACAUGAGUGAGUAUAUCUGGUGGACACUUAGAUAAAUGGGCAUGAAAAUUAAAAGGAAAAUAGAAAGAGA
RNAcentral lists this long non-coding RNA (449 nucleotides) under Fukomys damarensis (Damara mole-rat). RNAcentral's name for it is "lncRNA (ENSFDAG00000023427.1)". The record is from RNAcentral. Lineage: Eukaryota; Metazoa; Chordata; Mammalia; Rodentia; Bathyergidae.